Molecule: small nucleolar RNA, 78 nt
Filed under: Amphimedon queenslandica
Lineage: Eukaryota; Metazoa; Porifera; Demospongiae; Haplosclerida; Niphatidae
Description: Small nucleolar RNA SNORD24
Rfam family: Small nucleolar RNA SNORD24
About the family: U24 is a member of the C/D class of snoRNA which contain the C (UGAUGA) and D (CUGA) box motifs. C/D box snoRNAs have been shown to act as methylation guides for a number of RNA targets.
Source: Rfam by way of RNAcentral
GGCCGGUGAUGUAAACUUAUACUUGCUACUCUUGAUCUUGUUAAGUGAUGAUUGUAUACCACCAAGAUCUCUGAGGCC